UAAGGUUACAAAUUAGAAGUGCAUUCUCAGCUCACACCGAGAACAUGCUGGUGACUCUUUGUGCUCUCAUCACUGCUCUGACAUGUGUGAGUGGUGUGACAGUGGUGACACAGAAAACUGUGCUAUCAGUGAGCAAAGGAGAGACAGCCACCAUGGACUGUAACCUGGGGACUGUUACUGGCAGUGCUGCUCGGUGGUAUAAACAGAUUCCAGGAGGAGUUCCUCAGUAUGUGCUGCGGUUUUAUCAUGGAAAUACAUCUCCAACCUAUGGCUCUGGAUUCUCCUCUCCAAAAUUCACAUCCACUCAUCAGUCAACAUCAGAUUAUCGUUUUAUCAUCAUCAAUGUGGAGGAGGGAGACUCUGCAGUCUAUUACUGUCACACAUGGGAUGACUCUGCUAAAGAGCAUGCAUCACAGUGAUUUACACCAUGACAAAAACCUCCUCACUGUUACUUCUGCUUUUUUUUCCCAGUGAGCAGUGGGAUCUCUACCAGCACUGCUGUUCCGACACCAGCACAGACUUUCCAAAUCAGCAGUGUCUUUGUGAAAACCAUCAAGACACCAGAAUGUAACACUUAAUAGAUACCUGUGUAACGCAUGUGCUGUUUGCUCAUUUGUUUACAUUUUAGAAAUCACAAAAAAGGUGUGAGUGACACAGAAACCUCCUGCUGUAUCAGUGUGAAAAGGAGCGACAGCAAGCUCGGACUGUAACCUGAGGACUG
Non-coding RNA from Pelmatolapia mariae (spotted tilapia), 721 nucleotides. Lineage: Eukaryota; Metazoa; Chordata; Actinopteri; Cichliformes; Cichlidae. The record is from the annotation of a RefSeq genome assembly.